GUUUUAAUAAUUUAAAAAAAAUACUGGUCUUGUAAAUCAGAAAUGAGACCCCUAUCUUAAAAUA
RNAcentral lists this transfer RNA (64 nucleotides) under Engaeus quadrimanus. RNAcentral's name for it is "tRNA-Thr". Lineage: Eukaryota; Metazoa; Arthropoda; Malacostraca; Decapoda; Parastacidae. The record is from RNAcentral.